This 497-nucleotide ribosomal RNA is filed under the name uncultured bacterium. RNAcentral's name for it is "partial 16S ribosomal RNA". It matches the Rfam family "Bacterial small subunit ribosomal RNA", at positions 28 to 507 of the family's 1533-position model. The record is from RNAcentral.
GAUGAACGCUGGCGGCGUGCCUAAUACAUGCAAGUCGAGCGAACAGAUGAGGAGCUUGCUCCUCUGACGUUAGCGGCGGACGGGUGAGUAACACGUGGAUAACCUACCUAUAAGACUGGGAUAACUUCGGGAAACCGGAGCUAAUACCGGAUAAUAUAUUGAACCGCAUGGUUCAAUAGUGAAAGACGGUUUUGCUGUCACUUAUAGAUGGAUCCGCGCCGCAUUAGCUAGUUGGUAAGGUAACGGCUUACCAAGGCGACGUUGCGUAGCCGACCUGAGAGGGUGAUCGGCCACACUGGAACUGAGACACGGUCCAGACUCCUACGGGAGGCAGCAGUAGGGAAUCUUCCGCAAUGGGCGAAAGCCUGACGGAGCAACGCCGCGUGAGUGAUGAAGGUCUUCGGAUCGUAAAACUCUGUUAUUAGGGAAGAACAAAUGUGUAAGUAACUAUGCACGUCUUGACGGUACCUAAUCAGAAAGCCACGGCUAACUACGUG